Molecule: long non-coding RNA, 1762 nt
Organism: Rhinopithecus roxellana (golden snub-nosed monkey)
Lineage: Eukaryota; Metazoa; Chordata; Mammalia; Primates; Cercopithecidae
Exons: 3
Source: RefSeq, a predicted model, not a curated record
CAUGGAUCAGACUCCUUGAAGUGACUGGGAUGUGGCCAGACAUCACAGAAAACUGUGCUGAAUGAUGGAGACUCUCAGUAUUUAUAGAAGAGUCAUGUAUAAUGAGAUGGAACUUCUACAAAUGAAUUCUGAACUUCUCACCACUGGAGGAAGUGCAGCUGCCCCCAGUGCAGCCCUGCCUCUUUCUUUGUUUUGCUGCCUUAGGCCAUUGGAGCUACAGCUUCCAGUACAAACCCUUCUGCUCUCCCAAACCCUUGGUAUCACAGAGCUGAAGUUGCAGGGCAAUUAGCUAACCUGAAAUCUAAAGGAAAACAGAUGCCUCCAAGAAGACGUGAGACUUGAGCAAAUGCCUCCCUGGGGCAGAGGCUGGACACCAAAUAAACUGCACACCAGGAGAGGACAGGGAUCUCACGAAGAAAAGAGCAAGGCCUGAGAAUGGAGGACUCCGGGUGUUGAAAUCUUGGUAACUGGGGUAGUGCCCGUGGAGAAGAGGGCAGGGUAAGGUGCCUCCACACAACUGCCAUGGGUUCUAGAAGGUGGCAAGGACCAAAAAAAUAUAAAAACGGAUAAGAGGCUGAGAUGGCCCAUUUCAACCACCAAUGAGUUUUCCUGGCUGUCUGGUGUCCGGGCCAGUGUUGGGAGGACAAAGGCCUGAGCACAGCUGAUGACAACUGCUCCCAUCCCCUGAAUGUCAAUGUCUGAGGCAGUGUGCAUGCAUUUUCUUACUUAAUUCUCACAAAACCAAAUAAUGUAAACACUGAAGCUACUUGGUAUCAGAAAAAAAAAAAAGUUCCACUUAGAAGCAGCCUAUAUAAAAUUAGGCCUCAAUUUCAUAGAAAUUGUAAAAAAGGAAUUGGUUGGAACGUCAUCUUGAAAAGCAUUUAAAUUUUUAAAAAUUUACUUAAUGUGUAUUUGCAUAUAAAUAUAGAAUAUAAUUGCCAAGAGGCACCAACUCUUAGAAGAAUAAGUGUUAGGAGUGGACGGAGGCUGGAAUGGUUUUUUCUCAGAAUUUAUACUAUAGUACCAACAAAUCCUUCAUUUCAAAUCUCACACAAUCAUUAAAGAGUAAUUUUGAAAAAUCAUUUGAAAUUAUUUGAGUGUCCUAUCGAUUUUCAUAGGGGGCUCUAUUCAUCGAAAUGCUCUCUUUUGAAGUGCCCACAGUAUCAUUAGCAUCAUGAAUUUUUUCUUAUUAUGUUUCCAUUUUUAACAGUCAAAGGCUUUGCCUAUGAUCCCUGCAGCUCCCCAAUAUCACCUGCCUCAACUUCUUGAAUUACAACUUUUGCAAGAUCUCAGAUUGCACUUUGCAAUGAAUAUGGAUUCAAUUUGCACAAGAUAGUGUGAGGUUUGCCACACUUCAAUCAAGGCAAGACCAACCCUAUGGCAGAGGGUUUCUGGGCUCCACGCCUCCUCUCCCAGCUGCCUGACCUCACUGCAGUGGUGCAAAGCAGUGCCGCUCACACUGAGUCCCACCUUGGGCUUCCAAAACCCUUUCCUCUUCUCCGCCUCGGAUUUCUCUCUGUAAACAUGAAAUGCCACCUCCCCACUGCAGGCAUAUCCCCACCUCUCCUCCUUCAUGAGACAAUUCUCAGGCAUAUUCUACCCAGUUCUUCAGAGGGUAUCCAGUGUCAUUGGGCCCCAGUGGUCCACAGGGGCACCCAGCUCAAUAACUCACUCUUUCUUGGCUGACUCCCUGCAAAGCUAGUAUCUCUCUCCCUGCCCCUGCCCCCAUCCCAACCUCUCAGCAUCACCCUCCAACCACCUG